This 490-nucleotide ribosomal RNA is filed under the name uncultured bacterium. RNAcentral describes it as "partial 16S ribosomal RNA". It matches the Rfam family "Bacterial small subunit ribosomal RNA", at positions 30 to 507 of the family's 1533-position model. The record is from RNAcentral.
AUUGAACGCUGGCGGCAGGCCUAACACAUGCAAGUCGAAUGGUAACAGGAAACAGCUUGCUGUUUCGCUGACGAGUGGCGGACGGGUGAGUAAUGUCUGGGAAACUGCCUGAUGGAGGGGGAUAACUACUGGAAACGGUAGCUAAUACCGCAUAACGUCGCAAGACCAAAGAGGGGGACCUUCGGGCCUCUUGCCAUCAGAUGUGCCCAGAUGGGAUUAGCUAGUAGGUGGGGUAACGGCUCACCUAGGCGACGAUCCCUAGCUGGUCUGAGAGGAUGACCAGCCACACUGGAACUGAGACACGGUCCAGACUCCUACGGGAGGCAGCAGUGGGGAAUAUUGCACAAUGGGCGCAAGCCUGAUGAAGCCAUGCCGCGUGUAUGAAGAAGGCCUUCGGGUUGUAAAGUACUUUCAGCGGGGAGGAAGGGAGUAAAGUUAAUACCUUUGCUAAUUGACGUUACCCGCAGAAGAAGCACCGGCUAACUCCGUG